Molecule: RNase P RNA, 421 nt
Filed under: [Phormidium ambiguum] IAM M-71
Lineage: Bacteria; Bacillati; Cyanobacteriota; Cyanophyceae; Aerosakkonematales; Aerosakkonemataceae
Description: Phormidium ambiguum IAM M-71 RNase P RNA component class A
Rfam family: Bacterial RNase P class A
About the family: Ribonuclease P (RNase P) is a ubiquitous endoribonuclease, found in archaea, bacteria and eukarya as well as chloroplasts and mitochondria. Its best characterised activity is the generation of mature 5'-ends of tRNAs by cleaving the 5'-leader elements of precursor-tRNAs.
Source: RNAcentral
GAGAGUAGGGGUAGGCGGUUGCAGAGUAGCUUCGCUAUUCUGAGGAAAGUCCGGGCUCCCGAAAGACCAAACUUGCUGGGUAACGCCCAGUGCGGGCGACCGUGAGGAUAGUGCCACAGAAAGAUACCGCCUUCUUGUAGUUCUGAGUUUUGAGUUAUGAGUUAAUUCAAAACUUAAAACUCAAAACUGUAAGAGGGUAAGGGUGCAAAGGUGCGGUAAGAGCGCACCAGCAACGUCGAGAGGCGUUGGCUCGGUAAACCCCGGUUGGGAGCAAGGUGGAAGGAACUAUGGUUGGUCUUUUACCAGUUCCGUCAUUAGGUACCGCUAGAGGCAUCUGGUAACAGGUGUCCCAGAUAGAUAACUGCCCUCUUAGCUUGUAUAGUUAAGAGAACAGAACCCGGCUUAUGACUUGCUCUCUCCC